This 74-nucleotide transfer RNA is filed under the name Candidatus Ancillula prorhinotermitis. Its description in RNAcentral is "tRNA-Arg". It matches the Rfam family "tRNA". Rfam says of the family: Transfer RNA (tRNA) molecules are approximately 80 nucleotides in length. Their secondary structure includes four short double-helical elements and three loops (D, anti-codon, and T loops). Further hydrogen bonds mediate the characteristic L-shaped molecular structure. tRNAs have two regions of fundamental functional importance: the anti-codon, which is responsible for specific mRNA codon recognition, and the 3' end, to which the tRNAs corresponding amino acid is attached (by aminoacyl-tRNA synthetases). tRNAs cope with the degeneracy of the genetic code in two manners: having more than one tRNA (with a specific anti-codon) for a particular amino acid; and 'wobble' base-pairing, i.e. permitting non-standard base-pairing at the 3rd anti-codon position. Lineage: Bacteria; Bacillati; Actinomycetota; Actinomycetes; Bifidobacteriales; Bifidobacteriaceae. The record is from RNAcentral.
CCACCCGUAGCUCAGCUGGAUAGAGCAACGGACUUCUAAUCCGUAGGUCGGAGGUUCGAAUCCUCUCGGGUGGA